RNAcentral lists this ribosomal RNA (484 nucleotides) under uncultured bacterium. Its description in RNAcentral is "bacterial SSU rRNA". It matches the Rfam family "Bacterial small subunit ribosomal RNA", at positions 501 to 988 of the family's 1533-position model. The record is from RNAcentral.
CUACGUGCCAGCAGCCGCGGUAAUACGUAUGUCACAAGCGUUAUCCGGAUUUAUUGGGCGUAAAGCGCGUCUAGGUGGUUAUGUAAGUCUGAUGUGAAAAUGCAGGGCUCAACUCUGUAUUGCGUUGGAAACUGCAUGACUAGAGUACUGGAGAGGUAAGCGGAACUACAAGUGUAGAGGUGAAAUUCGUAGAUAUUUGUAGGAAUGCCGAUGGGGAAGCCAGCUUACUGGACAGAUACUGACGCUAAAGCGCGAAAGCGUGGGUAGCAAACAGGAUUAGAUACCCUGGUAGUCCACGCCGUAAACGAUGAUUACUAGGUGUUGGGGGUCGAACCUCAGCGCCCAAGCUAACGCGAUAAGUAAUCCGCCUGGGGAGUACGUACGCAAGUAUGAAACUCAAAGGAAUUGACGGGGACCCGUACAAGCGGUGGAGCAUGUGGUUUAAUUCGACGCAACGCGAGGAACCUUACCAGCGUUUGACAUC